RNAcentral lists this ribosomal RNA (519 nucleotides) under uncultured bacterium. Its description in RNAcentral is "bacterial SSU rRNA". It matches the Rfam family "Bacterial small subunit ribosomal RNA", at positions 32 to 523 of the family's 1533-position model. The record is from RNAcentral.
AAUCAACGCUGGCGGCGUGCCUAACACAUGCAAGUCGAACGCGAAAGUGGAGCAAUCCAUGAGUAGAGUGGCAAACGGGUGAGUAACACGUGGGUGACCUGCCUUAGAGUGGGGGGAUAACGUCCCGAAAGGGACGCUAAUACCGCAUAACAUGCUGCCUUUUAAGAGGUGGACAUCAAAGCCGGGGACCGCAAGGCCUGGCGCUUAAAGAGGGGCCCGCGCCUGAUUAGCUAGUUGGUGGGGUAAUGGCUCACCAAGGCAACGAUCAGUAUCCGGCCUGAGAGGGCGGACGGACACACUGGGACUGAGACACGGCCCAGACUCCUACGGGAGGCAGCAGUGGGGAAUUGUUCGCAAUGGGCGCAAGCCUGACGACGCAACGCCGCGUGGAGGAUGAAGAUCUUCGGGUUGUAAACUCCUUUCGAUCGAGACGAAUGGCCCUUGGGCUAACAUCCUGAGGGAGUGACGGUACCGAGAGAAGAAGCCCCCGGCUAAACUCCGUGCCAGCAGCCGCGGUAA